GUAGGGAUCAUUUCCGGUAUUAGAGGCGAAAGCCUUUUUUACUACAAGCUAUCUUGUGCAAUGGAGCACACGGCUCGUGCAUCGAUGAAGCCCGCGGCAAAAAGCGAUAUGUAAUGAGAUUCGUUAGCCUCGAGAUUCAUCAAAUUGGUGAACACAUACUGGACCUCUUCGGAGGUACUUGCGUUAGAGUGCUAGUUUUAUAUCAAUUGAUCCCGGUAAAAGGUGUUCUUAUCUUUUAGGUAUUUACGCCCUAGCUGGUGAAGCCGGAUUUUCUUUGAGAAUCCGGAUUGUCCUUGAAAGUAAAAUAGUUAUCAUAUAAUAUACACGUAAUCGUAAAAAAAAAAGGUAUGAUUGCUGUUGGUUUCCCCGAUCGGCUCUCCGUAGUGAAAACCCUAAGUGUUACGCGUUAUAAUCUAGUAUGUGUACCGCGUGUGGGCGAAACGAAAGGGCGAAAGUGAAGUUUUCCGGAGCUUUUUUUAGACAUACUGUACGGUCCCUUCGGUGGCCCCGAAAUAUGAACUGCGUUUUACGCCCUUCUAAAAAAUUGUGAUGGUUCUGAUGUAUAUUGAUAAUGAAAAAAGCUGGAAAGGCAAUCCAAACCAAACUUAAUUUAACUGGCCUCUAAUGUGAGAGGGUACCCCCUGGAUUUAAGCAUAUUAAUAAGGGGAGGAAAAGAAAUCAACAGAGAUUCUCUUAGUACCUGCGAGGGAAAAGAGAACAGCCCAUCCUGAAUCUAAGGUUUUGCUUUGGAGUUGUGGGGUGCGGAUGCUAUUCCUUGGAUUGAGAAUCGUGAAAUUACCUGCAAAGGUAUUCACAAGUGAAUCCAUAGAGGGUGUUAGGCCCGUUAGCGGUUCAUUCAGUCCUGUAAGGAAUGGUAUCUACGAGUAGGAUUGUUUGAUAGUACAAUCUGAAUAUAGGGGAUAAACUUCCUCUAAGGCUAAAUAUAAUGCACGAGACCGUUAGUAAACAAGUACCGUGAGGGAACGUUGAAAAGUACUCUGGUAAGAGGGUGAAAAGAGUGUGAAAUUGCAUAGGCUUAAGCGUAACCAAGUACCGAAUCCUGCAGUGUUCUCUUUGGUUCAUUAUAGGUAUCUAACAACUCUGUUCCUGCCAUUAGGCGGGGAUUGGGCUACACAUAUCAAUCAUGCCGUUGUAGAUGCGUUGUGCAGAUGAAAGUCUUGUUGCUGUGUUCUUGCUUCACGGCUUGAAUGUGGUACCGGGGCCGUAGCCUGUAGGAUGUGUCGCAAACGACCGGUCAUCUGAUAUAUUGUUGGUAUGGUAUUUGGGAACGUCCCGUCUUGAAACACGGACCAAGGAGUCUAGCAUAUCUGCAAGCCGUAGCAAUUUUAAUUGUGAAGGCGUAAUGAAAGUGUAUUGUGUUAACAGCACAAACCGGGCCUUUCGGUCUGAGUUAGAGUAAAUAUGCUAGUACCCGAAAGGUGAUGAACUAUGCCCGGACUGGUUGAAGCCAGGAGAAUCCUGGUGGAGGACCUCCCGCGGUGCUGACGUGCAAAUCGCUCGUCCGAGCUGGGUAUAGGAGCGAAAGACUCAUCGAAUCGCCUAGUAGCUGGUUCCUGC
This 1578-nucleotide unclassified non-coding RNA is filed under the name uncultured fungus. Its description in RNAcentral is "sequence contains 18S rRNA gene, ITS1, 5.8S rRNA gene, ITS2, 28S rRNA gene". The stretch from base 616 to 1578 matches the Rfam family "Eukaryotic large subunit ribosomal RNA", at positions 1 to 961 of the family's 3401-position model. The record is from RNAcentral. Lineage: Eukaryota; Fungi.